CGUGAUGAUAAUUCUACUACUAACAUAGCCCGUUUUAACUAUCAACAUUUAAGUCAUUGAAGUGUUUGUGUUCAAAUAAGUUUCAAUUUUGAGAAAACACCAGAUAGAUAAAAAAAUGUAUAUCAAUCAACAAAGAAAACUUUACACUAAUUACUUUAUAAAUUUCCACCAGGAAAUGGGAGAAACAAUUCUUUCUUUUUGGGAUAGAUUAAUUACGUCUCAUCGAAAAUUAUUAUUAAUUAUUAAAGACGAUGUUAAACCAGAUAUUUUUAACCCAAAUAUUUUUGUGUUGAAUGUAUUUAUAAAAGGGUUAAAACAAGAUCACAUCAGAGAAGCUAUCAAGUCCAGUGGCACAAAACAUUUAUCAAUAGCGUUACAGAUCGCUUUAGAUUUAAUAAUAUUAAAUAAAUAAUCCAUUUAAAUUUUA
Onthophagus taurus is the source of this 427-nucleotide long non-coding RNA. RefSeq lists it as uncharacterized. The record is from RefSeq and is a predicted model, not a curated record. NCBI's taxonomy places the organism in Eukaryota, Metazoa, Arthropoda, Insecta, Coleoptera, Scarabaeidae.